Molecule: ribosomal RNA, 416 nt
Filed under: uncultured prokaryote
Also listed under: 1 other name
Description: bacterial SSU rRNA
Rfam family: Bacterial small subunit ribosomal RNA
Source: RNAcentral
UGGGGAAUAUUGCACAAUGGGCGGAAGCCUGAUGCAGCGACGCCGCGUGGGGGAUGACGGCCUUCGGGUUGUAAACCUCUCUCAGUGCAGAACAAGGCUCUGUGUGGGGUGAGGGUAUGCGCAGAAGAAGCGCCGGCUAACUACGUGCCAGCAGCCGCGGUAAUACGUAGGGCGCGAGCGUUGUCCGGAUUUAUUGGGCGUAAAGAGCUCGUAGGCGGUUUGUCGCGUCUGCUGUGAAAUCCUCUGGCUUAACUGGGGGCGUGCAGUGGGUACGGGCAGACUGGAGUGCGGUAGGGGAGACUGGAAUUCCUGGUGUAGCGGUGGAAUGCGCAGAUAUCAGGAGGAACACCGAUGGCGAAGGCAGGUCUCUGGGCCGCAACUGACGCUGAGGAGCGAAAGCAUGGGGAGCGAACAGG